GGGGGAAGUCAUCAGUGAGAUACCACUCUUGGUAAGCUAGAGCGCUCAUUUUUAACCGUUAUCCGGUAAAAAGACAGUUUCGGGCGGGCAGUUUGACUGGGGCAGUCACCUCCCAAAAGGUAAUGGAGGUGUACAAAGGUUCUCUCAGGCUGGACGGAAAUCAGCCAUAGAGUGUAAAAGCAUAAGAGAGCUUGACUGCGAGACGGACAUGUCAAGCAGAGACGAAAGUCGGUUUUAGUGAUCCGACGGUGCUGAGUGGAAAGGCCGUCGCCCAACGGAUAAAAGUUACUCUAGGGAUAACA
RNAcentral lists this ribosomal RNA (302 nucleotides) under uncultured eukaryote. RNAcentral's name for it is "LSU rRNA". It matches the Rfam family "Bacterial large subunit ribosomal RNA", at positions 2178 to 2479 of the family's 2925-position model. The record is from RNAcentral.